Molecule: ribosomal RNA, 528 nt
Filed under: Winogradskyella sp.
Lineage: Bacteria; Pseudomonadati; Bacteroidota; Flavobacteriia; Flavobacteriales; Flavobacteriaceae
Description: bacterial SSU rRNA
Rfam family: Bacterial small subunit ribosomal RNA
Source: RNAcentral
GCGAGCCUGAUCCAGCCAUGCCGCGUGCAGGAAGACUGCCCUAUGGGUUGUAAACUGCUUUUAUACGGGAAGAAACCCAUCUACGUGUAGGUGGCUGACGGUACCGUAAGAAUAAGCAUCGGCUAACUCCGUGCCAGCAGCCGCGGUAAUACGGAGGAUGCAAGCGUUAUCCGGAAUCAUUGGGUUUAAAGGGUCCGUAGGUGGAUUGGUAAGUCAGAGGUGAAAGCCUGCAGCUCAACUGUAGAACUGCCUUUGAUACUGCUAGUCUUGAAUUAUUGUGAAGUGGUUAGAAUAUGUAGUGUAGCGGUGAAAUGCAUAGAUAUUACAUAGAAUACCAAUUGCGAAGGCAGAUCACUAACAAUAUAUUGACACUGAUGGACGAAAGCGUGGGGAGCGAACGGGAUUAGAUACCCCGGUAGUCCACGCCGUAAACGAUGGUCACUAGCUGUUCGGAUUUCGGUCUGAGUGGCUAAGCGAAAGUGAUAAGUGACCCACCUGGGGAGUACGUUCGCAAGAAUGAAACUCAAA